Molecule: ribosomal RNA, 400 nt
Filed under: uncultured bacterium
Lineage: Bacteria
Description: bacterial SSU rRNA
Rfam family: Bacterial small subunit ribosomal RNA
Source: RNAcentral
CUCCAACGAGCGCAAGCCUGAUCCAGCAAUGCCGCGUGCAGGAAGAAGGCCUUCGGGUUGUAAACUGCUUUUGUCAGGGAAGAAAUCUUCUGGGCUAAUACCCCGGGAGGAUGACGGUACCUGAAGAAUAAGCACCGGCUAACUACGUGCCAGCAGCCGCGGUAAUACGUAGGGUGCGAGCGUUAAUCGGAAUUACUGGGCGUAAAGCGUGCGCAGGCGGCUUUGCAAGACAGAUGUGAAAUCCCCGGGCUCAACCUGGGAGCUGCAUUUGUGACUGCAAGGCUAGAGUACGGCAGAGGGGGAUGGAAUUCCGCGUGUAGCAGUGAAAUGCGUAGAUAUGCGGAGGAACACCAAUGGCGAAGGCAAUCCCCUGGGCCUGUACUGACGCUCAUGCACGAAA